CCCCUGUGUACCCUCGCCCACAUCCUGCUUUCUUCCCCAUCAAGGACUCCCUCCACCUGAGGUGGAAACUCCUGUGUCCAGAGAGGGGGCAGGAGGAGCCUGCAGGAAGUGAAGACGGGGUUCUGAGGGCAUGGGGGAGUUGGCGUGUUGGAUGCUUCAGGCCCAUCCAGGAUCCGAGGCCUGGCCAGGGAGCUUGUGUCUGGGAGUAUGCUCCCUGGCCUGAAAAACAGAACACCUCCUUGAUCCUCUUGGCUCCUCCCUGCCGGGUCCAAGCAGUACAGGGCCUCGGGGAAAAAAGCACCGUGACCUGCGUGGCUCAGAGCAACGGAAAUGUAUUUUCUCAUAGUUCUGGAGGCUAGAAGUUUGGAAUCAAGGUGUGGGCAGGGCCGUGCUCCCUUGAAACCUGCAGGACAAGAAGCCUUCCUUGCCUCUCCUUAGCUUCUGGUGAUUUGCUGGCAGUCUGUAGUGUUCCUUGGUUUGCCGCUGCAUCACUCCAAUCUCUGUGUGUCUGUCCCAUAUUUCCCCUUUGUAUAAGGACCCCCUAAUUACCUCCUUUCAACCUGAUUACCUACGUAAAGACCCUAGUUCCAAAAAGGUUGUAUUCUAAGGUAUUGGGGAUAAGGAUUUCAACAUAUCUUUUUUGUGGGUGGGGAGACUCCAUUCAGUCCAUGAUUCUGGGUGUCCAUGCUGUGCCCAGCACUGUGCCAGGCACUGGGGAUGUCGCAGGAAGCUUGAUGGACAUAAUCCCUGUCCUCAUGGACCUUAUCCUCUCUUGUUUUAGCUAUA
Molecule: long non-coding RNA, 786 nt
Organism: Ailuropoda melanoleuca (giant panda)
Lineage: Eukaryota; Metazoa; Chordata; Mammalia; Carnivora; Ursidae
Exons: 3
Source: RefSeq, a predicted model, not a curated record